AGCUCCUUCUCGUCUAGACAGAAGACCGUCUCUCUCUUGGGCAGGAUGAAGGCGAGAGGCUCCUGGACGACGCUGACGUCCACGUGCCCGAGGUUUCCGUACUUGGAGAGCUGAGUGGGUGGAACGCCUGACCCAUGGUCUGUGCUAUCUGAGCUGGUGGAAAAAGGACUUGGAGACAGCGAUUUAAAUAAGGAACCAGGUCUUCCAGGAAGACAGUGCAGAACUGGACGAAAAUCUCUUGCUCCCCACUGCUGAAGGCAGCCUCUUCAGCACGAUGGAAGGCCAGGAUUAUUUUGGUUACCUAAGAGACAAGGACACCAUCAAUCACUGGGGUAGUCUAUCACCAUCAGUAGUGCAUGAAACUAAGCACAAAUGUGCAUCCCUCAAGUUUUCACGAAGAAAGGAGUUCCAAACAGUACAUUAUAUCACUAUCUUGUUUAAAUUCAGACUUGUGGUCAAUCUCCAGAGUGCUGCCACUUCAUUGGUGUAUUUCUGACCCAACUUGUUUCAUUAAUGGAACAGUGUCCAGUUCCAGUGGAAGAGCAUCAUGAAAUUAUACAGAGACUACACUGUGCUUGACUCCCAUGGGAGAUGGACUAGAACUAUAUUGGAUCCAGGAAAAUGAAGCAAAUCUCUAAAAGGUUUCCACUGAGUAAGGCCUUUGAGGUUACAGGAAGCUAGGACCACUAGAAAAUUGUAAAGAAGAAAACAGCUGGAAAGAAAGUUCCAUAUAUAAAUAACAGAGCAGCCUACGUGACAUUACAGACAGGAGUCACAGUCACAGGGUUAAGAAUAGACUCAGGUGCUGGACAUCCUGGGUUCAAGUCCCAGCUGUGCCACUUAGUGGUUCUGUGACUUGCAAAUGAUUAUUUAAGUACUCCAUGCCCUCUGUGCCUCAGUUUCUUCAUCUAAAGUAGGGCCAACAACAGGACCUACUUCAUAGGGUUGUGAUGAUCAGGUCUUAAAAUACAUGUAAAAUAUGAUGAAUGCUACCUGGCACAAAGAGAACAUCAAUAGAAAGAUUUUAUACAACCACAUCACAACUGCCACUUGGCUGACGAUUUAUAAGAUGUCAUCCAUUUUAAGAAGCAUCCCCAUAUAUAAAGAUUUAAAUGUGUAGAAAAUGUGCACCAUACUAGGAUAUUAGUAGUGGUAGUACUGUUACUUGUGUUAGGCAGAAUUCUCAGACGGCUUUUGUGAUUCCCGCCCCUUGCUAUCCACUCCUUUUUGUAAUCUCCUCCCCUUGAGUGCAGACACAAUCUGUGGCUUGUUUCUAACCAACAGAGUCUGGCACAAAGGUGAAGGAUUUUGCAGAUGUAAUUAAAGUCCCUAAUCAGUUAACUCUGAAUUAAUCAAGAGGGAGAUUAUCCUAGGUAGGCCUGACUUAAUCAGAUGAGCCUCUUAAAGGAGGGUUGAGAACAUCCCUAAAAGAGACUCAGGAAGGAGGGAUGUCUCCUGUUGGCCUUGAAGAAUCAAAAAGCCACAACAUGAACUGCCUAUGGAGUGGGGCGGCCUCUAGGUGCUGAAGGCCUAGUCCUACAACUGUAAGGAACAGAAAUCAGCCAAUGUGAAUGAGCUUAAGAGGGGACCCCGAGCUCCAGAUGAGACCACAGCUUGGCUGACACUGAUUGUAAUCUUGUGAGCAGAGCACCCAGUUUGCUGUGCCUGGACUCCUGACACACAGAAACUGGACAUGAGGGGCUGGCCCCAUGGCCAAGUGGUUAAGUUCGUGCAUUCCACUUCGGCGGCCCAGGGUUUUGCUGGUUUGGAUCCU
Equus quagga is the source of this 1774-nucleotide long non-coding RNA. RefSeq lists it as uncharacterized. NCBI's taxonomy places the organism in Eukaryota, Metazoa, Chordata, Mammalia, Perissodactyla, Equidae. The transcript has 3 exons. The record is from RefSeq and is a predicted model, not a curated record.